ACUUACACGAAAGAAGACUGGUCAUCAUCUGCAAGGCCAUAUACCCCAAACCCACUGUAGUUAAGAACUCAUGCCCUGAAGUCUAAAGAGAUCCAGGUUCAAGUCUCAGUUCCCCUGCCCCUUGAGGCUGCUGUGACACAGGUUCCAUCCCUGACCCAGAGAACGUUUCCAUGCCACGGGCACGGCCAGAACAAAUGCACAGACAAAUAUGGAUGGAUCUUGAAAACAUUAAGGUAAGUAAAAGAAGCCCAUCACAAAGGAUCACAUAGUGUAUAUUUUUCUCUAUAUGAAGAGUGCGGAACAGGCAGAUCCAGAGAGACAGGGAGGCGGGAUUGGGGAGAAAUGGGGAAUGCGUGCUAAUGAGGAAGCGGUUUCCUCUUAAAAUGAUGAAAAUGUACCGGAUAUAGAUAGUGGUGAUGGUUGCCCGAUGCUGUAAGUAUCCUAAAAACCAUCAAACUGUACACUUUCAAAUAGGUGAGUUGUAUGGUAUACACAUUAUGUCUUAAUAAAACUGUUUUAAAAAUAGCUAACUUAUGCCUUGGGAGGAGCUGCUUGGCCAGUACUGCACCUCACUAGAACGUGUAACUAAUUGCUGCCCUGCCCAUCCCACUGAGUCAUGGACUGGGCUGCCAGUCACUGCCUGGUUCUGUCUGUAACGUGUGGACUGUGCCUGUAGCAAUGAAUUUGAAUACGGUAAAAUCUUUACCUAGGAGAACAGUCAUCAUGAAGUACCUAAAACUAGUCUUUAGUGUUCAGAGCGGUGUGAGCCAAGCCAUUCAAGAAGCCCAUUUAAAAAAAAGUUUUGAGCACCUAAGUGCCAGGCAGUGUCAUAAGAUCUGGAGAUACAGCGCGGAAGGACACUGAGAAGGACACGGCCCUUAUGGUGCUGGCACCUAAGUGAGAGAGAGAGAGACAGCCAAAACCCAGUGCACACACCCGGCUAUGUAAGGAAGUUUCAGGAAAUGGUAUGAGUGCUUCUGCAGUAAUAAAACAGUGUCAUGGGAGAGAGGGCCAGAGGCGUAGAGAGGAGGCUUCAGGUGAGAUUCCAUCUGAGCCUGGACUCGCAUGAGAAGAAGCCAGCCCCGGGAAAGUGUGUUGCUGGCAAAGAGAACAGCAAUUGCAAAGGCCCUGUGGCAGGGGGAGGCCUGACCACUAAAGGCAGAGACACAAAGCUGGUGCAUUCAAUCAGAAGCAACGGGGAGAGCAAAAAGAGAUGCAGAGAGGCAGGAAAGGGAUGCAGAGGCAGGCAGUGGUCCGGUUCCCGUAGACCAUCGUAAGGAGUUUGGAUUUUGUUUCAAGCCACAUGGGAAGCUGCUGUAGAGGGGGUGAAGACACAGUGGCUUGAGCUGGUUUUUGAAAAGAUGGCUCUGACAGUGGUGCAGAGAAUGGAUUGUGGGAGGGCCAGCGUGGAGCUGAGAGACCAGUCGGGACACUAUUGCAGCCGUCUGUCCUGUUCUGUGCUGUCUGUCUUGUCUCAAAAGCAGGAUGGAGGGCCUUUCUUUGUUGUUAAAAUUGUCUCAAGUAUUUACAAGCCUAAUUUCUUUGAACAAAAAUGUAGAGGGGUGAGUUGAAAUGCAGAGGGCCUCUGUGCUUAAAUGCAGCAGCACAUGCGCGUAGGUUCUUAAUCUCAACCAGAUUGAAUGCGGUUGUGGGGGGGGGUGGCCUUCUUUGCCAGGCUGUGCUGUCCUGCAGCCUGACACCUGGCACCUGACACCACGGUGUAGCGGAUGUUUCUAAAGCUUGUGCAGAUGUCAGAUGGGUCGAGUGAUUACUAAAGUUGUGAAGGAUCUGAUAUAGGUACCUACCAUCCUCCAUUCACUUAUAUACAUUACAGCUUAAUAAAUAAAAAUUAUACAUUAACAUUAUUUAUAAUAUACACCGUCUAUGUAGUAUAUAAUAUAGUAAUUAUAUGUGAUAUUAGAUAUUGGCAUAUUAUGCACUAUGUAAGUAGUAUAUUCUAUAUAUAGUCUUUGAUCCCAUAUGUAUAUAGAAAUGUAUCCAGGUUUACAGUGGGUGCACCCAGGUCCACCCAAAUCAAAAUCAUUUAGUGGCAUUCAAAUCCAUUUCUUUUUUUUUAAGGUGGCAUAUGGAGGUUCCCAGGCUAGGGGUCGAAUCAGAGGUACAGCUGCUGGCCUACACCACAGCCACAGCAGCGCAGGAUCCGAGCCACGUCUGCAACCUACACCACAGCUCACAGCAGCGCCAGAUCCUUAACCCACUGAGGCCAGGGAUCAAACCUGUGUCCUCAUGGAUGCCAGUCAGAUUUGUUUCUGCUGAGCCAUGACGGGAACUCCUCAAAUCCAUUUAGACUAAGAAUUCUAACUGCAGGAUCAGCACAAUCCUGUUCAAGUAGGAACAUGGUUUUUUUAUCACUCAGCUCAUUCCCGACAGUUUCUGUGGCUGCGGUGAGUCCCAAAGUGUGUCUAAUGGAUUCGUUAAAAUAGUACCUUUCCCCCUUUGGCUUCGAUAACAUACUUUGUGGAUGUCGAAAAGCUCUGUUACUCUCUGUUUGUGCUACUUCCCUCUGACCAUUCACAGACCAGCUCACUUCUGUAUAAAAGGAUAGCUUGAGGUGGUUCACAUGAUGUGGUCAGGAUCGAGUUCAAGACAUGUGCAAGACAGAGACAGCCAAAAAAAAAAAAAAAAAAAAAA
Molecule: long non-coding RNA, 2652 nt
Filed under: Sus scrofa (pig)
Lineage: Eukaryota; Metazoa; Chordata; Mammalia; Artiodactyla; Suidae
Description: lncRNA (ENSSSCG00025044277.1)
Source: RNAcentral